Molecule: small RNA, 619 nt
Filed under: Pan troglodytes (chimpanzee)
Lineage: Eukaryota; Metazoa; Chordata; Mammalia; Primates; Hominidae
Description: processed transcript
Source: RNAcentral
GUCGCUUGGAGAUCCACUUUACUAUGGUAAAAUACAGCCAUGUAAAGCAGAUGAAGAAAGUGACAGCCAGAUGUCUCCAUCACACUCGUCCACAGAUGAUCAUUCAAAUUGGUUCAUUAUUGGAUCAAAGACCGAUGCUGAGAGGGUAGUCAAUCAGUACCAGGAAUUAGUCCAGAAUGAAGCCAAAUGUCCGGUCAAGAUGUCACACAGCUCCAGUGGCUCAGCCAGUCUGAGUCAGGUCUCUCCAGGGAAAGAAACAGAUCAAACUGAAACCGUGUCAGUUCAGUCUUCGGUAUUGGGGAAGGGUGUAAAACAUCGACCCCCACCAAUCAAACUUCCCUCAAGCUCAGGAAAUAGUUCCUCAGGUAACUAUUUUACACCACAACAGACAAGCAGCUUUCUCAAAUCUCCAACUCCUCCUCCUUCUUCUAAGCCAUCAAGUAUUCCUCGGAAAUCAUCUGUGGAUCUCAAUCAAGUUAGCAUGCUUUCUCCAGCUGCCCUAUCACCUGCCAGCUCAUCACAAAGAUCUGGAACUCCUAAGCCAUCUACUCCUACACCAACCCCUUCAUCGACCCCACACCCUCCUGAUGCUCAGAGCUCAACUCCUAGUACCCCUUCA